Molecule: ribosomal RNA, 253 nt
Filed under: uncultured bacterium
Lineage: Bacteria
Description: partial 16S ribosomal RNA
Rfam family: Bacterial small subunit ribosomal RNA
Source: RNAcentral
UACAGAGGGUGCAAGCGUUGUUCGGAAUUAUUGGGCGUAAAGGGCGCGUAGGCGGUGCGGUAAGUCUGCGGUGAAAUCUCCCGGCUCAACUGGGAGUCUGCCGUGGAAACUGCCGUGCUUGAGUGUGGGAGAGGUGAGUGGAAUUCCCGGUGUAGCGGUGAAAUGCGUAGAUAUCUGCAGGAACACCCGUGGCGAAGGCGGCUGACUGGAUCGCAACUGACGCUGAGGAACGAAAGCUAGGGGAGCAAACAGG